UCAAACAAUACGGUAACAUUUUCUAUUGAUGAUGUCCAUUGAAUGUGUUGUAAUUGUAAUUGAUGGUGCUGCCCGCUGAAUUUUUCAAGAAUUCAAGCAUCAAAACAUGGGCUGUCUUGCCAUGCGUAUGAGCACACAGCAAAAGCAACCUAUUGAUUAAUCAUCUAUCAUAUCAAAAUAUCUACCACCACUAAUCAAUAUUUUAGAAACAAAAUUUCAUAAAAA
This 225-nucleotide long non-coding RNA is filed under the name Citrus sinensis (sweet orange). Its description in RNAcentral is "long non-coding RNA (CSIN_LNC004170)". The record is from RNAcentral. Lineage: Eukaryota; Viridiplantae; Streptophyta; Magnoliopsida; Sapindales; Rutaceae.